UUAAUUAUGCAGAAAAUGAUCCCCAAAAUUUCUCGCGCUCCCCAUCAUGCACAGACGCUCAAACAUCGCCGCAAUGAUUCUAUCGCCGAGCAGGAAGCGGGAUGUGCAGUCCACCGGAGACGCCGCCGCUCAGGCAUUGCAGGGAUCCCCCGAUUGCCAGAGCUUCAUCAAUCGCUCAUCAGGUUUAUGGCACAAAAAAUCUGAUUCGCACCCACCACCGGCUCUCCACAUGAACACCACAUCUUGGUGCUGGAGGCGCCCCCAAUCCUCCAAAGGGGAUCUAGCCAUCUAGAAUAGUAGAUGCGAUUUACUUCAUCAUUUUUCGGCCAGAUCGAUAACUAUUGUUGCUGCCGUGCGGGGGUUCGUUGACUGCCGCAGCCCAGGCAAAUGAGCUUCUGAUCAACGACAGCAGCAAAGAGGUAUCUGUCAGUUGCCAAUUGCCAUGCUAUAGAUGUCCUAUGAAUUGAGAUAACAUUAUCUAGAUUUCAUGAUUUUCAGUAUUACAUUGGGUCCAUUGAAAAUCGACCGAGAUCUGGGUAUUUUUGUACACUGAUAAAUUGAUGAAUCCAUUACCAAUCUUAGAUUCUAGUAAUCAUUUAUAAAGAUUAUCAUAAAUCACGUAUAAGAGACAUAUAUUCUAGCUAGUCAAUCAUUUAGAGAAAUUUGAGUAAAUAGAUUUUUUUUAGAAAUCGCAAUUGAUAUAUUUAUUAUGGCUAGACUUGCUUUCUCAUAACACACAAUUGUUUCGUAGAUCUGGCAAUCGGCUCUGUGUUUCCUAAUUUCAGUAUGUUUCAUUUGUGGGAGUUGGCGACUGGCGAGUAUCUUGGGCUACAAACGAGCAUGCAAGACUUCAAAAUCUUAAGUUGGGUAGUUAUCAGGAACUUUUUUCUACUAAAUCAUAAAAAAGUCCAUAGACUAGCAGCCGAUUCCAUUGUCUUCAUUUACUCUUUUCAGUAUUUACCCUCAUUUACUACUUUA
Panicum virgatum (switchgrass) is the source of this 978-nucleotide long non-coding RNA. RefSeq lists it as uncharacterized. The transcript has 3 exons. NCBI's taxonomy places the organism in Eukaryota, Viridiplantae, Streptophyta, Magnoliopsida, Poales, Poaceae. The record is from RefSeq and is a predicted model, not a curated record.